CCAAAGCUCCCCCCACAGCUAUCCCUGGAAUGUGCAACCAUCCCUGCUGCAGGACACCUGUCAGCUCUUGCUUCAAAAUCUCAUUAAGGACUGGCUGGGCAUUAUCUAAUCCAGAAGGACUUGUUUGGAUGAAUUAUUUCUAUGAGCAGCCAGGAUGCAGCACCAGAGCAAUCACCACCCUGCUGCAGUGAUGCAAAAGGAAACCAGGGCUGUGGACUGUAGCUUGGUCUGAAUUGCCUGGGUAGUUGCUUCUUUUGAUCCAAGGAAUUGAACAAAAUUACAAAGUGUUUCUAUUAGGAAGAAAGGCUAAGAGGACACCAAAGCUCAAAGGUGUGCCAUUACUGUGAAUUCUUGCACAAAUAGGGAAUACUCAGAUCCCUGAGUGUUGUCACCAUCAUGAUUACUUUGUGAAGAGCAUGUGGAAGUUUUAAGUGGAGAAACAGAGAGAUGGGUUACUACUGCCAGGUUCAAAUAUUUAAGUAUCGUGAGCCAGAUUCCCCCAAGUCCAAACAAAAUUUUCUUUAAAUAGCAAAGGUGUUCUCUUGACUUAGGCUGUUACUUGGAUUAUAUUUCCUCUGCAAGCACAAGGACAAGAAAUUUACUUUUUGUAAAAAGCAAGACCCUCAUCUCAGAUCUUCAGAACCCACAGGUCUAAAAGCUCCCAAGGUGACUAGAAACAUCACAGGCAUAGUGCUAAAUAAACUGUCUCCAAAUGCUGCUUUGUUUUCCAAGCUCAUUGACUUGGUAAGUGGACUUCUUGUCUUCUCUUUUUUUCAGUGCUUUUUUGUUUCACAUACAGAGGGGAAAACAGUGUUUCAGAGGGUAGCAUGAUAACAUUCUUGCAAGUGGGUCCACAGUCACUUUUUCCUCUUUGAAAUGUUUUAGAUUAUGAGAUAUUUUCAAGUUUAAAAACUGCCAGGGAAGGAAAUUUCUUCAGAAGUGUCCUUUGAGUCAGAGAUAAAAGUGGUGCCCAGCAGGUGUGGGCUAGCAGUAGUCAAAGAAAAGAUGAACUCCCAGCAGAAGCUAUGAAGUUCACUCCCUCUAGUUCUGCUACUGUAUAAGACUACAUCAUUCUUUAUUUCUAACCUUCUCUUUUCCUAUCCACUGGCUGUAGCAAUAAAUGUGAAAAAAAUCUGCAUAUGAAUCCAGAUUCUUAGCCUCAUUAUCUUGCUGUUUAUGAUGAUUUCCCUGAGGACAGAACUCAGACGACCAGCCACUUCAUGCAGUGACCCAGGCUCCAUCAAGGGGUGACACAUCUGGACACCUCUGCAGAAAAUGGAGCACACUCCAGGGCUGUGGGAGC
Passer domesticus (house sparrow) is the source of this 1303-nucleotide long non-coding RNA. RefSeq lists it as uncharacterized. The record is from RefSeq and is a predicted model, not a curated record. NCBI's taxonomy places the organism in Eukaryota, Metazoa, Chordata, Aves, Passeriformes, Passeridae. The transcript has 3 exons.